RNAcentral lists this ribosomal RNA (318 nucleotides) under uncultured bacterium. RNAcentral's name for it is "bacterial SSU rRNA". It matches the Rfam family "Bacterial small subunit ribosomal RNA", at positions 477 to 793 of the family's 1533-position model. The record is from RNAcentral.
AGCUGCAGAAGAAGCACCGGCUAACUCCGUGCCAGCAGCCGCGGUAAUACGGAGGGUGCGAGCGUUAAUCGGAAUUACUGGGCGUAAAGCGCAUGCAGGUGGUUUGUUAAGUCAGAUGUGAAAGCCCGGGGCUCAACCUCGGAAUUGCAUUUGAAAACUGGCAAACUAGAGUACUGUAGAGGGGGUAGAAUUUCAGGUGUAGCGGUGAAAUGCGUAGAGAUCUGAAGGAAUACCGGUGGCGAAGGCGGCCCCCUGGACAGAUACUGACACUCAGAUCGCGAAAGCGUGGGGAGCAAACAGGAUUAGAUACCCUGGUAG